This 500-nucleotide ribosomal RNA is filed under the name Bacillus subtilis subsp. subtilis. RNAcentral describes it as "bacterial SSU rRNA". It matches the Rfam family "Bacterial small subunit ribosomal RNA", at positions 74 to 559 of the family's 1533-position model. The record is from RNAcentral. Lineage: Bacteria; Bacillati; Bacillota; Bacilli; Caryophanales; Bacillaceae.
GGGAGCUUGCUCCUGAUGUUAGCGGCGGACGGGUGAGUAACACGUGGGUAACCUGCCUGUAAGACUGGGAUAACUCCGGGAAACCGGGGCUAAUACCGGAUGGUUGUUUGAACCGCAUGGUUCAAACAUAAAAGGUGGCUUCGGCUACCACUUACAGAUGGACCCGCGGCGCAUUAGCUAGUUGGUGAGGUAACGGCUCACCAAGGCAACGAUGCGUAGCCGACCUGAGAGGGUGAUCGGCCACACUGGGACUGAGACACGGCCCAGACUCCUACGGGAGGCAGCAGUAGGGAAUCUUCCGCAAUGGACGAAAGUCUGACGGAGCAACGCCGCGUGAGUGAUGAAGGUUUUCGGAUCGUAAAGCUCUGUUGUUAGGGAAGAACAAGUACCGUUCGAAUAGGGCGGUACCUUGACGGUACCUAACCAGAAAGCCACGGCUAACUACGUGCCAGCAGCCGCGGUAAUACGUAGGUGGCAAGCGUUGUCCGGAAUUAUUGGGC